RNAcentral lists this ribosomal RNA (497 nucleotides) under uncultured bacterium. RNAcentral describes it as "partial 16S ribosomal RNA". It matches the Rfam family "Bacterial small subunit ribosomal RNA", at positions 28 to 507 of the family's 1533-position model. The record is from RNAcentral.
GAUGAACGCUGGCGGCGUGCCUAAUACAUGCAAGUCGAGCGAACAGACGAGGAGCUUGCUCCUCUGACGUUAGCGGCGGACGGGUGAGUAACACGUGGAUAACCUACCUAUAAGACUGGGAUAACUUCGGGAAACCGGAGCUAAUACCGGAUAAUAUAUUGAACCGCAUGGUUCAAUAGUGAAAGACGGUUUUGCUGUCACUUAUAGAUGGUUCCGCGCCGCAUUAGCUAGUUGGUAAGGUAACGGCUUACCAAGGCAACGAUGCGUAGCCGACCUGAGAGGGUGAUCGGCCACACUGGAACGGAGACACGGUCCAGACUCCUACGGGAGGCAGCAGUAGGGAAUCUUCCGCAAUGGGCGAAAGCCUGACGGAGCAACGCCGCGUGAGUGAUGAAGGUCCUCGGAUCGUAAAACUCUGUUAUUAGGGAAGAACAAAUGUGUAAGUAACUAUGCACGUCUUGACGGUACCUAAUCAGAAAGCCACGGCUAACUACGUG